CGAUGAUGCCAGCUUGCUGGUGGAUUAGUGGCGAACGGGUGAGUAACACGUGAGUAACCUGCCCUUAACUCUGGGAUAAGCCUGGGAAACUGGGUCUAAUACCGGAUAUGACUCCUCAUCGCAUGGUGGGGGGUGGAAAGCUUUWUUGUGGUUUUGGAUGGACUCGCGGCCUAUCAGCUUGUUGGUGAGGUAAUGGCUCACCAAGGCGACGACGGGUAGCCGGCCUGAGAGGGUGACCGGCCACACUGGGACUGAGACACGGCCCAGACUCCUACGGGAGGCAGCAGUGGGGAAUAUUGCACAAUGGGCGAAAGCCUGAUGCAGCGACGCCGCGUGAGGGAUGACGGCCUUCGGGUUGUAAACCUCUUUCAGUAGGGAAGAAGCGAAAGUGACGGUACCUGCAGAAGAAGCGCCGGCUAACUACGUGCCAGCAGCCGCGGUAAUACGUAGGGCGCAAGCGUUAUCCGGAAUUAUUGGGCGUAAAGAGCUCGUAGGCGGUUUGUCGCGUCUGCCGUGAAAGUCCGGGGCUCAACUCCGGAUCUGCGGUGGGUACGGGCAGACUAGAGUGAUGUAGGGGAGACUGGAAUUCCUGGUGUAGCGGUGAAAUGCGCAGAUAUCAGGAGGAACACCGAUGGCGAAGGCAGGUCUCUGGGCAUUAACUGACGCUGAGGAGCGAAAGCAU
RNAcentral lists this ribosomal RNA (682 nucleotides) under Pseudarthrobacter sp. RNAcentral's name for it is "bacterial SSU rRNA". The record is from RNAcentral. Lineage: Bacteria; Bacillati; Actinomycetota; Actinomycetes; Micrococcales; Micrococcaceae.